Molecule: long non-coding RNA, 1321 nt
Organism: Alosa alosa (allis shad)
Lineage: Eukaryota; Metazoa; Chordata; Actinopteri; Clupeiformes; Clupeidae
Exons: 2
Source: RefSeq, a predicted model, not a curated record
GCAUGGGGACAUUUAAUCUGUGGUGCCACUACUGAAGGUGUUCUAGAAAGGCAUUCUUCUAAUAGGGGGAGGAGCCUCUUCUGUGCCUGCUACAGACGUCAUGUGGCACAGAUCGUUCUGAACAGCACUGAUACCUCUGCACCAGGAAUGCAGGGGAACCGGUUUCACACAGACCACAGGUAUAGCCAUAAGCCAUGUGAUGGCGUUCAUGGCAUUGACUUCUCUCUUGCACAUACACACACACACACAGCAGCACUGUAACCUGUGGAUCCUUCUACUGUAUUAGAAUAGGCUGAAUACAUGUAUGUGUGCCCAUACAGCAGUGUGUUUUUGGCAGAAAGAAAUGGUAGGGUAAUCUGUGGAGGCGUAAACAGUAAACAUUCCCAUCUUAUCCUACAUCUGAUCAGGAUCAUGGAACAGUCUAGAACAAGACUGAAGACAAAGUGCUCACUCACCCAGACACGCUUUGUUUAUUUGGACCAUAAGGACAAUUUCUGAGAUGGGUGCUUCGGACUCCAGGCCAACUCUUUUCAGUAGACGUAAAAAAGACAAGGGGCUUUCGUGGAAUGGCCUGAAGAGAGCGCUGUUUAAAAAACAGAAGCGGAAAAAGAACGUUCUGCGCAAGCUGUCUAUCGGCAACAACCGGAAAGGAUCCCAGUCUCUCAAGAGAUUCUCGGUCCCAAACAUCAGGAAAAGUUCACAGCCUUCGAAGAGAUUCUCCCUUUUUGAACUUUAAGGACAUUUUGGUUGGAGGAGGCCAUUUUAUAAAUAAUCACUUGUAGGGAGUGUUAUGUUCAGAAUAGGUCUACAUCUUGUGCCAUGAUCCAAGCGGAGUAAGACCAAUCUGUUAAUUUAGGGACAGCCAAAAAUGUGGACGGACUUUUCAUUUUCUAAACGUUUAUUCUGUUUCCAGCAAAAAAGGCCAACGACUCUGAACUACUGAUUGGCUAUAGUUUAUCUUUUCCCAGAAUAACUGUAAAGCUUUUGUACUUGUGGGUACGAGUGGUAGGGUUCUAAAUGUAGCCUAGAAAGAAAUUAAUCUGAGCAUAGUGAACAAGCCUGCCCACCAACUGGUCACCAUGAUGUCCGGGAAGACUGGUUUUUGUUUCGACAUGUUGUGGGUUUGUCUGCCUCUGUAAACCAAUUUUAUUAUUUAACAUAUAUACAGCAAACAUUGUAGUGUCAUGAUUGAGGGUGUUUAUCUGUAUUCACACAGAGAGAAAGCGAGAGAGAAAAAGGGAGAGAAUUCAAAAGUUGGAAGAAUUUUAUAAGAAGUUUUAGAAGACACUUAUUUUAAUUGAAAUAAAACUUUCUAACCAUG